CCUGAGCUGGCGAAGAUGCCCUCCUUUAGAGGAGCGUGCAGACUUGAUAAGGGAAACAGAUGGGCCAACAGAUAAUUCCCAGCAGAGGUGUGUUCAAACAUGAGCCCUGGGGACUAGGUACUAAGCAGAUGGAGGAACAGAGAUGCUGAAGAGAGGGCAACUGUUUACUGCAAUUUUGAUAAAAUUCCCUUUCAAUACGGCCUGUUCCUGGAUAGAGUCCCACCUUUCAUCUGCUUUUAUUCCUAAUCCUGUGGCAAAGCCUGGACCUCCCUUUUCUUCUCAUACAAGCUCGACAGAGCUGGCAUUUUCCUUCUCCAUUUCAGUGACAUGUUUUUCAGUGUUUUGUCUGUUUGUGAAGGGGCAGAAAUGUCAAGGUCAAAAAAGUCUUGGAAAAAAUGAGUAGUAUUUCUGUACCUGCUGAGGGUUAGGUGCUUGGAUGUUAUAUAUCUCUGCAUUCCCACAGUAAAACCAUGUGUGGUUGGGGAGCUUUUCCUUUUUUAACCUCUCUGGGUGGUUGAGGAAUUGGAGGCUCAGAGAGGAGAAGUGACACAGCCCAAGGUGACGCCACCAGGAGCUGAACUUGAAAGCCAAGCCAAGUCCGUCUGACCAUCAAGCGUUGCUCCUAUAAUCAUACUACCUUGCCUUCUGCCUUUGUAAACAUGAGGUGACACAUCAAGCUAGGGCUAUUAAAAUACCCAGAAGCACUUUUCUUCCAAAUAACUCACAAUAUCUUGUCUUUGGGAAGUAUUCAAUAGGUUUAUUUCAGUAAAAGAUACACCAUUGCCAUGGUUUUAGGGAGUGAUUCUGAAUUUUAUGUUACUGAUUAAGAAAGAUGGUUAAUGGAACCUGUUUCCUUAAGAAAUUUACAUCAUAUAUUAGUAAGCUGUUGCUGUGUAGCAAAUCACACCAACACUUAGUGCCUUGAAGUAACAACAUGUAUUAUCUCACAAUUUCUGUAGGUGUGAAAACUGGACAUCAUUUAGCUGGGUCCUGUGCUUCAGGGUAUCUCACAGGCAGCACACAAGGCUUCAUCUGGGCUAUACUCAUCAGAAGGCUGGAUUGGGGAAGAUCUGCUUCCAAGUUUACUUACAUGGUUGUUGGUGGGAUUCAGUUCCUGGUAGGCUGCCAGCUUUAGCUCCUCAUUUCCUGAUGGCUGGAGGGUUCCCUCAGUUCCUUUCCAUGUGGGCCUCUCCAGCAUGGCUGCUUGCUUCAUCAAAGUGUACAAGAAGGGAGACAGCAAUAGGAACAUGUCAGCAAGAUGGAAUCCACAGUCUUUUUAAAGCUAACCAUGGAAGUGAUAUUCCAUCACUUUUGGUGUAUUCUGUUUGUUAGGAACAAGACACUAGGUCCAGCCCACCACUCAAGGUAUGGGAUUACACACGGCAUGAAUACUAUGGGGUGGGGAUCACUGGAAAUUAUGUCAGCAGCUAUCUGUCACACAUGAGAGAAGUGGAGAUGGUAGUCAUAAUAAUAGUCAUCAUCAUCAUAAUAAUAAGGCUGGUGAGGAUAGCCAGCAUUUAUUGGGUGUUCUUGAUGCAUCAGGCACUGGGCUAAAUCCCUUCUAUGCAUUGUCUCCUUUAAUCUCCUCAUCACUCUCAUUAACUUCCCUGAGUUACUACAGCAAAGAGAUUAGGACCAGACUCUGUUGUUUCCACUCCGAAGUCCAUCCCUUUACAUGAUGCAGAUCAUUGAUAAGAAUCCACUGAGCUGCUGAGGCUCCAGGAAAGACCUGAUUGAGAGAGGAGUCUGAUAAACGAAGCUGAACUCACUGCUCCUCAGAAAACUGCAAAUGAACACAACCAGAAGCCAUUUCUUACCCAUCAGAUUGGAAAAGAAAAUGCCUUUGGGAAGCCUGUCCCCACAUCUUCUCUGAGACCUGGAAUCUGGACCUUAUGUUGAGGCUGGGCACCCACAUCUGGGAUGUGAUUCCUUUCUGCCCUCACCCCAUCAUUCUCUCUCUCCAGUUUCCCUGCGAUUUCCUCUUGGCCAUAGCCUGGUGUAAGUUCCAGCAUUUUUGUAUCGCUGUUCUAGCAGAUUUUCAUUUUAGUGCCAAUCCAAGCGCUCUAUCCCUUCCUUGAACUCUUAGUUAGGCCAAUAAAUAUUUAUGUAGCUCAUUGGCAAUUAAUUAGGUGCCUUUGGCACUGCAUCCAAUGGCUUGUAAAUCGACAUAGAGAUUUCACUUCCCCCAUCUUUGCUUCUUGGCUUUCCAGCAGAAAGACAAGCUAAGAGCGGACAGGGAACGUGAUUUCUACUUCUCUGUAUAUGCGUACCCUACACGUAGUAGCAUGCAAUGAAUAUUUAUGGCCUUAUAAAUUUAAUCGGCAUAUGAUUACUUAACAAUAAAGUGAGAACUUUUCCAGAGAGAAAAGACAUCAUCUUGGCUGGGCUCGAUGGAGGGUAGGCUAUGAGGAGCAUUGAUUACACUGAUUUAAAGUGAGGGCUCUGAGGCCAGACAGGUUAGAAUCCUGGCUCCCCACUUACUGAGCAUGUGAUGGUAACCGUGAUGCAAUCUCUCUGUGCCUCAGUUUCUACCUCAUAAUCUAGAAAAAGCAACAGCACUUGACCAAACCCUAAAAUAGCGAUGAGGGACGCAUCCUCUAAACGUCAGCUAUCACGAUUUUAUUAUUUCUUCCAAAUAAGCCUUAUGUUCUUAAGAAAUACACAUGCAGACACACAGGUAGUCUUUACCACAUCCAGUUUUUGUCUAGAGUAUCAGAUUCUUAUCUUUAAAACAUGAAUAACCUGAAUGGUUGUGGCUUUUUUCUCCUCAUUAUACACCUUAAAGGAAGAAAAAAGGAGCUGAUCAAAACCAAUAAAAAAAUACAAACAAAAGAAAAAUCUGGAAUAAACCAAUGUAAGCAAAAUAGGAGAACCUGAGGGAGUAUGAGGAAGGUUGCCCAAUAUGCCCAUGAAGUAAAAGAGAGAUGGGGGAGAUGGCCACCAAUUAAAAUUAAUUAAACAUUUUUAAUGAUCUCUGAUGCUGACCUCAUGCUCCAGGUGCCUGAAACAAAGAAAAGAAAUGCAGAUAAUUGGAUCUUCAUGACAUUUUCCCAACUGGCCACUUUCCCUGUAACAAGACCAAGCCUGUCUCUUCCAUUGUACUCUCGUGAGCUACCUGGGUCAGAACCUGAAAUCUUGGCGCAGAAGUCCUGUGGCCUGGUGCCUGAAACAAAGAAAAGAAAUGCAGAUAAUUGGAUCUUCAUGACAAUUUCCCAACUGGCCACUUUCCCUGUAACAAGACCAAGCCUGUCUCUUCCAUAUGGGUCAGCCAUAUCCCACCCACUCCUCCUGGGAUUUGACUUGGGGAAUGUGGACAGAAUCACACAGUCAGUAGAAGUUGGAAAGUAGGCGGAAGUGGCCACAUGGGGUAGGGACAUAUCAGAGUUAUGAUGAAUCAGAAGCAGAAGCCCCAAGUUGAAGAAGAGAUACAAAGCUUGGAAGCAGGAAGAGAUGGAGCGGACACACAAAGGAAUCCAACACUGGAGAACGGCAACGUAAAGGUGGCGUGCUAGGGGAAAGCUCCAGAAUUCCUGCAGCUGGGCGCUGGAGCCACCCUGAACUUUCAAAGACCUCCCUAUUCCAGUCUCCACAAUCCCAGGUCCUGGUAUGUCCCUGGAUUUGGGGGGAGAUUCUGGCUCCUUUGUAGCACCACAAUAAACCCUUAUUGCCUGAGUUAUCCCAAGUGACUCCCUGUUCUUUAUGGGCUCACAAGCCAACACACC
RNAcentral lists this long non-coding RNA (3722 nucleotides) under Homo sapiens (human). Its description in RNAcentral is "HSALNT0097746". Lineage: Eukaryota; Metazoa; Chordata; Mammalia; Primates; Hominidae. The record is from RNAcentral.